CGCUGACUCUCUUUUCGGACUCAGCCCGCCUGCACCCAGGUGAUUAAAAGCUUUAUUGCUCACACAAAGCCUGUUUGGUGGUCUCUUCACACGGACGCGCAUGAAAGAAAUUACUUUUUUUCAAGAAUGAGUUCAUGUCCUUUGCAGGGACAUGGAUGAAGCUGGAAGGCACCAUUCUCAGCAAACUAACACAGGAACAGAAAACCAAACACCGCAUGUUUUCACUCAUAAAGGUGUCCGCAUUUGGUACAACGUUCGUCAAAGAGGAUGAGGUUACCGGGAUUGUCACUGAUGUGUUUAAAUGACUGCGCCAGCCUCCAGAGAAUAAGAUCUGUAUUCAUUGAUUCAUUUAACCAAUAUUCAGGUGACUACCACAUGCAAUACCACGAAUACAUGAAGCCGGGCACAGUGGCUCACACCUGUAAUCCCAGCACUUUGGAAGGCCGAGGCGGGCAGAUCACCUGAGGUCAGGAGUUCAAGACCAGCCUGGGCAACAUGGAGAAACCCCGUCUCUACUAAAAAUACAAAAAUUAGCUGGGUGUGAUGGCACGAGCCUGUAAUCCCAGCUACCUGGGAGGCUGAGGCAUGAAAAUCUCUUGAACCUGGGAGGGGAGAUCGCGCCACUGCCCUCCAACUUGGGUGACAGAGUGAGGCUCCAUCUCAAAAAAAAGAGUACAUGAAAAGUUCCCAAAUCAUAAAUCAAAAAAAAUUGUUUGAAAGUUUAUUUACAACCAACAUCUCAUUUCCCCGUAAGUCUCCAUUUCUUCUCAUAUGCACUGCAGAUAACAAAACCGGUUAGAGAAAACAUCCUGAAUGCCACUGUGAACACUCUUAUUGACUUCUCUCAGAUUUUCUCAUUGUUACAUAAAGGGAUGUAUUGUUACAUGAAGUUCUUUCAGCCUUCGUUAAAACUCUCUAGAAGCAUUCUGUAUUAGGACUACAAUCAGCAGUCAUGGUUUGUAUGCUUCAUAAUCAUUUCACUGGGUUUACUUUUCAAUAUCCCUAGGGUAUUAAUCUUUUGAAAACUCACUUGCAGUGGAGAUGAUUCCAUUGUAAAAUGUUUCUUCAUUCCCAAUAGCACAAUAUAGUAAGUAGUAGGUCUAUUUUCAUGCUGUAUCAACUAAUUUGCAAUCAUAGCAGAUCUUAAGAUUUCU
This 1154-nucleotide long non-coding RNA is filed under the name Homo sapiens (human). RNAcentral describes it as "long non-coding RNA NONHSAT203961.1". The record is from RNAcentral. Lineage: Eukaryota; Metazoa; Chordata; Mammalia; Primates; Hominidae.